CGCGUAGGCGGAUUGACAAGUUGGGGGUGAAAGCCCGGGGCUCAACCUCGGAAUUGCCCUCAAAACUGUUGAUCUGGAGUAUGGUAGAGGUAAGUGGAAUUCCGAGUGUAGAGGUGAAAUUCGUAGAUAUUCGGAGGAACACCAGUGGCGAAGGCGACUUACUGGACCAUUACUGACGCUGAGGCGCGAAAGCGUGGGUAGCAAACA
This 207-nucleotide ribosomal RNA is filed under the name uncultured bacterium. Its description in RNAcentral is "partial 16S ribosomal RNA". It matches the Rfam family "Bacterial small subunit ribosomal RNA", at positions 568 to 774 of the family's 1533-position model. The record is from RNAcentral.